GGGCCCGUAGCUCAGCUAGGUUAGAGCGGCGGGCUCAUAACCCGCGGGUCGCCGGUUCGAGUCCGGUCGGGCCCACCA
This 78-nucleotide transfer RNA is filed under the name Candidatus Bathyarchaeota archaeon. Its description in RNAcentral is "tRNA-Ile". It matches the Rfam family "tRNA". Rfam says of the family: Transfer RNA (tRNA) molecules are approximately 80 nucleotides in length. The record is from RNAcentral. Lineage: Archaea; Thermoproteati; Candidatus Bathyarchaeota. RNAcentral also lists the same sequence under 1 other name.